Aegilops tauschii subsp. strangulata is the source of this 1773-nucleotide long non-coding RNA. RefSeq lists it as uncharacterized. The record is from RefSeq and is a predicted model, not a curated record. Lineage: Eukaryota; Viridiplantae; Streptophyta; Magnoliopsida; Poales; Poaceae.
AGAUCUAGCGCACCGUAGCCGCUCGAGCACUGGAACGCCAUGGAUGGGAAGGCUUCUUCCUCCCCUGUCCCGAUGCCAUGAACGACGCAGCUCCACCACCAGACCAUGGAGACGGAGCUCCUUCUCCCGCAUCACUCAUGGAGCCUCCCUCUCAGCGCCCGGAGCCCUAGAGAGAAUUCAAGGCCAUGGCCGGAGAGAGGAGCUGCUCCUAGUACAGGACGCCAUGGAAGGUGCUGCUCUGAUGAGGAGAAACUGCUGUUGUAGAACGUCCUCCUCCCAUCCCCUACCCCCACACGUGGUGAGCUCCUAUGCAUAUGUGGAUAAUCAGGAACUAAUGUUUAAUUGGUUACUUCAUAAUCUGUUCCACUGUAUGCAUGAACGCUCACACAUUUUUUCCUGCCAUUUAUAUACAUUACUAUUGGACAGUGAGAAGAUUUCCAUUGUGUGCAUGAACAUGCUUUUUUUUCGUCAAUCCAUCUCUUAUCAUGCAUACAUCCUAUCAUAUAUUAUAUGAUAAAUCUUUUAGUUGCUCACUGUCUAUAUAGGUGCUCAAAUUUUUAGAUUCCAUAGAACUUCUGUUUGUAGUGAAAAGGGGGUAUAUGCAACUUUUAAUCAAUGUCUAUUUAAAUCAAUAGAAUAAAUAUUGAGUAUAUGUGUUCACUGGUGCACCAUGUCGAAUUACUUUUCCGUUUAAAAAAGUAAUUACUUCUGUAUGUUGUGAUGCAUCCCAUAGUAGUUUGCACCCAGGAACCAACCAAGGGCUGAUGCAAUAUAUGUUACCAUGUAUAUACCGCCCUUGCUGUUUAAAAAAAUAGACAUUGAGGAUACCUUUUUUUUCCCUACACCCUGCUGUGGGAUUCUUAAUAGCCUUACCUGCAUAUGAACAAACUGCAAGAGACAGAUACAAUUCCUAACAUGUGAAAGGCUGUUUUAUGACUUAUCCAUCUCGCGACCACCUUCUAUAUCUACAGGAAUCUAUCACUUCUUUCUACUUACAUGGCAGAUAUAUCUACAAGUGAAUCUACAUGUUUUUUGUAGUUCAAAUGGAGUAUCCUAUAUCAUUUUUAUUAUUAUGCAGAACUGUUUGUUCACUCACAUCAGCCCUUUGCUAUAGCUGUUGUGGAGCAAAUUAGAUGGGCGAACCAAUAGAUAAUUAGGUAGAUGUAGUUGGCCGGCAAUGGUUCAUAGGGAUAUUCCUUAUAUUUACUUGAUAUUUGAUCUUAAUAUUCACUGGACACAAUUCUCUCAUGGUUGCAAUAUUUUUUUCCUAAGUUCACUCCAAUUGUGUUGGCAUUCAUGCUUGAUUUCUUUUAAUCAGCUUACUAAUCAUACCGAGAAAAUAAAUAUAACUACUUGAGAAUAAAGGGAAAAGGAGAAUAAAGGAUGGUUGUGGUAGCAGAAUGGUAUUUUUGCUUAGGCGCAAUCAUACUUAUGUAGUAGUAAAUAACCUGUCAUGUCAUUCUUCAAGUCUGCACAUAGCACUGUUAUUUUAGGAGCAGAUUUCUCAUCCUUCAGAAACCUGAACUUGCUUAAUAGCCAAUUUAGCAGAGUAUUACCAGUUCCUUGAUGUCAUUUCUGGUAUGCAAUCAUAUGACAUGUCUCGUGUAAAUAAAUAUGGGUUGUUGUCAAUUUUUUAAUCUACAAUUGAUCUAUUGUUUUUUACAUGGUAGCUUAAUAUCCUCCUUCCUUUUCUAAUAUGCAAACUUCAAAUAUGUGAGGUGCAUAAGUGCAUGAGGUGCGGUUCACCUUAGGCUGCUCCCGCUCGUCAGCGGU